GGCGGCAUAGCUCAGUUGGCUAGAGCACUCGGUUCAUACCCGGGGUGUCACUGGUUCAAAUCCAGUUGCCGCUACCA
Molecule: transfer RNA, 77 nt
Filed under: Flavonifractor sp. An100
Lineage: Bacteria; Bacillati; Bacillota; Clostridia; Eubacteriales; Oscillospiraceae
Also listed under: 3 other names
Description: tRNA-Met
Rfam family: tRNA
About the family: Transfer RNA (tRNA) molecules are approximately 80 nucleotides in length. Their secondary structure includes four short double-helical elements and three loops (D, anti-codon, and T loops).
Source: RNAcentral